This 376-nucleotide ribosomal RNA is filed under the name uncultured bacterium. Its description in RNAcentral is "bacterial SSU rRNA". It matches the Rfam family "Bacterial small subunit ribosomal RNA", at positions 521 to 896 of the family's 1533-position model. The record is from RNAcentral.
UAAUACGAAGGGGGCAAGCGUUGUUCGGAAUUACUGGGCGUAAAGGGCGCGCAGGCGGCCUGACAAGUCAGAUGUGAAAGCCCCGGGCUCAACCUGGGAAUAGCAUUUGGGACUGUCGGGCUAGAGAUCGGGAGAGGAGAGUGGAAUUCCCAGUGUAGAGGUGAAAUUCGUAGAUAUUGGGAAGAACACCGGUGGCGAAGGCGGCUCUCUGGACCGAUACUGACGCUGAGGCGCGAAAGCGUGGGGAGCAAACAGGAUUAGAUACCCUGGUAGUCCACGCUGUAAACGAUGUGUGCUAGACGUUGGGGAGCCUAGCUCUUCGGUGUCGCAGCUAACGCUUUAAGCACACCGCCUGGGGAGUACGGCCGCAAGGUUA